RNA transcript from Rhagoletis pomonella (apple maggot), 5757 nucleotides. It is a transcript of the gene named gamma-secretase subunit Aph-1-like, with no coding region annotated. Lineage: Eukaryota; Metazoa; Arthropoda; Insecta; Diptera; Tephritidae. The record is from RefSeq and is a predicted model, not a curated record. The transcript has 2 exons.
UUCUUGUGGCGAAAAAUUUUCAUACUUGGCAUAGCGGUUUUUGUAUAAAAGAUGGCGGACGCUCAGGCGUCUGGGAUGGCGUCCAAAAUGGCGUGCGCAUCUUUUAAGAAUGCGCAGGCCAAUUUGGGCAAAAUCGGGAAAACUAGGAAGAAAAAGACUUUUGGCUCAGUCUCCAAGAGACCUAAGGGCGAUUCUAACAGAUUGGUGGAGGAGUUUAGUGAUUCGAGUGAAAAUAUGAGUUGUGGCGAACUUCCCCCACUCAGCGGCAUGCUGGUUAAGAGGGGCUCGUUAGCUAGUGUGGUACAGUCUGAUAGUGUCCAGACGAAUAUUGAAAACGCUUUUACAGUAGUGGAAAAUUCAUUGGGUUCGUCCGAUUUUUUGAAUAGUAAUGUUGGUUGCGGUUUGGAUAGUGCUCAGUACAGUGCUGGUGGCCAUGUUAAUCAUUUGAAUGCAAUGGCGGCUCAGGUUAGCGCUGACUCUGCUAAUCAGGGGUUUUAAAUACAUCCGAAAGUAAUAAGUUCAAUCAAAAUGAAAGUCAGAGAUAUAAUGUGGAUUUUAAGGGAGAAGCAGUUGUUCUUAUGGAUGCGUCUAAAAGUGGUUUAUUUGAGAAUAAGGGGGUGAAGAACGGCCUUUUCCUUUUCGGCAAAAUUCGGAAGUUAAAUAUAAGUGGUCUGAAAAACAUUCUUGCCAUAGGAAGGUCCUUAUUUAAGGUCUUCUUUUACUCGGUUAAAGAUGCAAACGCAAGUCUGACUAACAAUGACUUCAAGAAUAUGGGAAUUAGAGUCUUUAUUCCCAAAAGUUUUUUUGAGACCUAUGGUGUGAUCAGACAGGUACCUCUUGACUUUCUAGAAAGUGAAAUAUUUAACAACAUUCAGUCGGACAUUCCGGUGUCAUCGGUGUCUAGAAUAACUAGGAGAGAUCCAAACAACAAGGAGAAUUUUGUUCCUACUUUUUCGUUAAAAAUUGGCUUUGAAGGAAAUGUUAUACCGGAGUCGGUCAGAAUUUUCUGUGUCGGGUUUAGGGUGAAUCAUUUCUUUCCCAGGGCCAAGCAAUGUUUUAAGUGUGGGCGUCUCGGCCAUACGAAACUUUCUUGCAGGUCAAAGAACCGGUGCAUAGUCUGUGGCAAGGAGGAAUCUUGUCAGGAAAAAUGCAAUAGUACUAACCCUAAGUGCAUUUUAUGUGGUAGUAAUGACCAUUUAUCGUUCAAUAAAAAUAGGUGUCCCAGCUGGGAGAAAGAAAGACAGGUCAUUGAGAUCAUGACGGUGAAGAAGUUGUCUAAGCGUGAAGUGUUUGAUAGCUACAGAAAUGUGCUCGAAGGGAAUAGUUUCUCAGUACUGGCCGAUUAUGAUGAAAUGUUCCCAGCUAGGGUGGGACAGGCCGAAGUGAGGCAGAAUAACGAAGGUGUAGUAAAUAGGAGUCUAACCAGGAGAAAAUACAACGUGGUUGCCAGAGCAGCAAUUAACAAGAGCAGUGAGAUCGGCAAAAAGGUUCAGCAGGCCAGGAUUAUAGAAAAGUCUGUGCCGGUGUAUGAAAGUCCCAAGUGGGAGAGAGUGAGUGAAAUUGAAAAACUUCUCAGUGAGUUGUCCGUGAAAUUCAAUAUUGAUGCUGAGGAGCCGAUUUUGAAGGUGUUGGGGAAUCUAAUUAAAACUAACGUAGAUGAUAGACUUGUUGUAAAUAGAAACAAAGAUGACAAUAAAAAUUCUUCAAUUUAAUUGUCAGAGUCUGAAAGCCAAUAGAGAUUAUAUAGACUUUUUCAUUCAGCAUAAUGAGAUUGACAUAGUGGUUCUACAAGAGAUUUUCUCGUGCGGUGAUAUUAGUGAGGGCCAUAAACUUAUAAAUUUUAAUUUGUUAUCAAAGUUCAGGGCAGAUGGCUACGGGGGUGUAGCCAUUGGAAGUAGGAAAAACUUACGCUUACAGAAAAUCAGAUACAAUUCCAACUAUGACAUUGUUGUGGCUAAAACCACAAGCUUGCUUCAAAAUUUUAUUAUAGUUUCUGCUUAUUUUCCACCGAAUUUAAACAAACAUCUCUUUGACUAUGAAAUUAGUCGUUUAUUGCUGUUUUUGGAGGGACGCGAAAACAUCCUACUGUUGGGGGAUUUCAAUGCUAAGACCAGAAGAUGGGGUAGCCCAAAGGACCUUCCUAAAGGUAAAAUUCUGCUCGAUGCGAUUCGUAAGGCAAAUUUCAAAUGUUUAAACGAUGGUAGUCCUACUUUCGCUACUAGCAAAAAUUGUCCAGGCAGCCUUUCAGUCUUAGAUCUUUCUUUUACUAACUCGAACUGUCAGCUUAUGUGGAAGGUGGUCCCUGUUUUUGUCGGGGGCAGCCAUCACUGGCCAAUUAUUAUAGAUUUUCCAAACGUUGCGAGCAAACCGGUUCCGUUCGUUCAAAAGCGAAAACUUAACUCGGUGCUGGCUAGAAUUCACUGUAAUGAGGGGGUUGAUGGUAUCUGCGAGGCCAUAAAUAAGGAGAUUAAAGGAGCCACGAUUGAUUUAAACUCUGUAAAGGGUUCCCUCAAAGCGUGGUGGAACGAGUCAUUAAAAAAACAAUUUCGCCUGCUGUCGGCGUGCAGGAAGAAAGCGAGGCUGACGAACAAUGUUAGAGACUUUGAGGAUUUACUUAAUAUGGAAGAGGAGUGGAAAGCGGCUGUAAAAAAAGCAAAAGCGGACUGCUAUCGGGCGAAAAUUAGUGAGUUAAAUGAAUACCCGAAUACUACAGAUGCAUGGAGGUUCGUUAAUAGUGUUAAGGGGACUCGUAAAAGGGUUCCAUGUUGGCCCAGUGAUGAGCAGGCUCAAUAUUUAGACGUAUUAAAAAACCAAUGCGCAGUGCGGACCGUUGAAGUGGGUAGGGACUGUCAGGUCAGCGACAAUGGGUGUAUGGACGAGUCGGGGUUAGAGUUUUCGGUGGAGACGUUUGACAGCGUUUUGAAGAAAAUGAAGAAAUCGGCGGGGGGCUUGGAUGGCGUAACAUUUGGUAUGCUGAAAGGGCUGCCGGUAGACACGAAGGAGGCUUUAGUUCACGAUUUGAGAGGCAUUUUCUGGAGAAUAGAGUUAGAGAGGAGUGGAGGAAGAUCAAGAUCGUACCUAUUCCUAAGCAUGGGAAGGAUCUUAAUGAUAUUCAGAAUUUCAGACCUAUAUCGCUUCUUUCAGUGUUUGUGAAGAGUAUCAACAUGAUUAUAAAAGAAGAGCUAAUGGAAUGGGCGGAAAAAAAUAACGUGUUUCCGGAUGGCUGUUUUGAAUACAGAAAAGGGAAAUCGGCGACAAUGUGCCUGAAUGAGUUCAUUUACUGGUCCAGUAAAUUUAAGAAGUGUAAGAAAAAAGUUUUCGUGUGUGUUUUGGAUAUUUCCGACGCGUACAAUCGUGUCAGCAUCGACAAGUUAGAUUACAGGUUAAAGGUUUUAGGAGUCGAUAACAGAAUUCGUAGUUGGGUUAUAAACUUUUUCUCCAGAAGAACUCUUGUGUUAGGAAAGCAUUCAGUUGAGGUUUCAAAUGGACUACCCCAGGGGAGCUGUCUGUCACCGCUGCUUUUUAACCUUUAUACUGCAGGGCUCCACAGGUUGAAUGAUGAUAGCUCGUUGAUGUUUCAGUUUGCGGAUGAUUUUGCGUUCAUCUGUUGUGGUAAUACUGAGCUGGAGGCUAUAAGUGCCCUUGAGGGUAAACUGAUGGCUUUCAGUAAUAGGUGCAAAAGUCUAAAUCUUGGCAUAAAUGUGGAAAAAACCAAAUUCAUGUGUGUAAACAGCAAUAGGUUUAGCUCUUUUUCUUUAUGCUUGGAUGGUAAAGAAGUUGAACAGGUCCGCUCGCUAAAGUGGUUGGGGAGGGUAAUUACUGCGAGUACAUCGGUAAAUAAUCAGGUUAGCAGACUAAAAAGGAUUGCGGUACCGGGUAAAAAUCUUAUCAAAUGUUUAACACCUAUUAAAAGCGGUUUGGUGCCCAAAGUAGCUUUAAAUUUUUAUAAGUCCUUUGUGAGAAGCAAGGUGGAAUACGCUAACUCCACUUAUGUGGAUGCACCUAUUGGGUACAACAAAAAGAUACAAGUCAUUUUGAAUGAUACUCUUAGGCGGUGCUUGGGGCUUCCUCCAAGUGCUCCGGUGCAUGUGAGGUAUGCUUUGGCAGGCGAGCUUCCCCCUCUGAAAAGAGCGGAAUGGUUGGCUGCCAAGGAGCUCAGCAGACAGUGGCUUGUAAAUCCUCGCCUCAGGGAUGACCUGAUGAGUGGGAGUGUCUCUAAAUCCAGUUAUUGUUUUGUUUACGAAAAGCACAAAGCCGUUUUCAAUCUUCUUGGUACUGAUGUUUCUUUUUGUAGGCAUCGUAACCUCCACGUGGAGCUUUCGGAGCUGGGUACUACCAAAAAUAAUGUUAGUACGGUACAGUUGAAAAGUAUUUUUGGCUCUAGACUAAGGGAACUGCAGAAUAGUGGUUUUUACCUCCUUGCCACGGAUGCGUCGGUUUCUGAUGGAAGGGUGGGUUUCGCAGUCCAUGAUCCUCAAAAAAAUUUGUCAUUCUUAUAUAGAGUAGUGGGUGAUUUUUCCUCCACCUUCGGGGAGCUUCUAGCAAUCAGGCAGGCGGUUCGGAUGAUGGUCAAGUUGGAGUGUAAGAAAAUUGCCAUUCUUUCAGAUAGCAUGGCGGCGUUGAGAUUAAUUAACAAGAAACGAACGACUAAUCAUAUUGUUGCGGAGAUUCAAAAUUUGAUGCACAAUUCAAAGUUUGAAGGCAUAAAGCUCAGUUGGGUUCCCAGUCAUGUGGGGUUAGUGUACAAUGAGAAAGCGGAUUUAGCGGCAAAGGCUGCAGUGAGAAAUGGACAGGACAUGCAUAUAAAGUUUACGGUUGAGGAGGGGCUUAGAAGAAUUCGGCAAGCCAUUUGGCGUGAGUGGGAGAGUGAGUUUUCGGAGAUUUGUCAAUCCAAAGGUAAAGUUUUUGCUGAAAAUGGAGGUAAGGUAACUGACUCCCCUUGGUUCUGCGAUAAAAAAUGCAAUUUUUCCGUUCAGGAAAUAAAAUUAAUAAAUAGACUCAUGUGUGGACACACAUAUGGAAAGAUUUUUUUAAGUAAGUUUAAAGCUAACAUCACUGAUGCCUGUUUAUGCUGUGGGGUUAGAGAGACAAAUGACCAUCUUAUUUUUGUAUGCCAAAAGUUUUCCGUUUAUUGUUAAGUAAUAGUCGUUUUAGGGAAAAUGAAGAAAAACAAUUUCAACCAGUCAAUUAUUAAAAAAAAAAAAGAGAAAUUUUAACGAAAGCAAGGAAAAAAAAAAAAAAGUAUGAGACAAAUAUGUAUGCAUUUUUGUUCCGAAUGCUUUAGAAUGUAGUCAUAUGAUUAAAUUUUUCUAUUCAAUCAGAUAUGGAAUUCGGCACGUACGAUUGUGCAUUUAAAAAAUAAUAAUAAUAGUAAAAAUAAUUAUAUUAGUAAUAAAAUUAGAGAUAUGUAUGACUGGUUUGGAGUAUGGAUGUAUCUACCUCAUUGUAGUUAAAUUUUCCAUAUGUACACGUAUUACGAGUUUGUUGUUAAUUGUAAAGAUGCCUAAAUUAGUGUUUUUUCUGCAAUCAAGUGCCUUUGAUUCUGCUGAAAUUAAUUUUGUGAGUCACCCUGCAUGCUUGUUCGACGUGGGAUUGAAUCAUCACUGGAACCGGCUCGUCGGGUCACCGCUCACUAAAAGCUUCGCAUUACAAUUAAAAUCUUCUUGGACAACCUGGCUCUUGAGGACAUCAUAACAGUCCUUGCCAAUUUUCUAUACGCGUUUUUGCGUUUCUAAACAAAAAAAAAAAAAUAAAAUA